GUCUGCGGCAUGCUAUACAUGCAGUCGAGCGAACAGACGAGGAGCUUGCUCCUUUGACGUUAGCGGCGGACGGGUGAGUAACACGUAGGUAACCUACCUAUAAGACUGGGAUAACUUCGGGAAACCGGAGCUAAUACCGGAUAAUAUUUCGAACCGCAUGGUUCGAUAGUGAAAGAUGGCUUUGCUAUCACUUAUAGAUGGACCUGCGCCGUAUUAGCUAGUUGGUAAGGUAACGGCUUACCAAGGCAACGAUACGUAGCCGACCUGAGAGGGUGAUCGGCCACACUGGAACUGAGACACGGUCCAGACUCCUACGGGAGGCAGCAGUAGGGAAUCUUCCGCAAUGGGCGAAAGCCUGACGGAGCAACGCCGCGUGAGUGAUGAAGGUCUUCGGAUCGUAAAACUCUGUUAUUAGGGAAGAACAAACGUGUAAGUAACUGUGCACGUCUUGACGGUACCUAAUCAGAAAGCCACGGCUAACUACGUGCCAGCAGCCGCGGUAAUACGUAGGUGG
RNAcentral lists this ribosomal RNA (514 nucleotides) under Staphylococcus sp. CL6. RNAcentral's name for it is "bacterial SSU rRNA". It matches the Rfam family "Bacterial small subunit ribosomal RNA", at positions 35 to 534 of the family's 1533-position model. Lineage: Bacteria; Bacillati; Bacillota; Bacilli; Caryophanales; Staphylococcaceae. The record is from RNAcentral.